RNAcentral lists this non-coding RNA (25 nucleotides) under Cricetulus griseus (Chinese hamster). Lineage: Eukaryota; Metazoa; Chordata; Mammalia; Rodentia; Cricetidae. The record is from RNAcentral.
GAGAGGAAACUGUAGGGGGUUUUCU